AAUGUAUUGAGGUUCUAAUAGUAACAGUUCAAUAUGGGGUGUGUAUUAAUGUAUUGAGGUCUGAUAGUAACAGUUCAAUAUGGGGUGUGUAUUAAUGUAUUGAGGUCUGAUAGUAACAGUUCAAUAUGGGGUGUGUAUUAAUGUAUUGAGGUCUAAUAGUAACAGUUCAAUAUGGGGUGUGUAUUAAUGUAUUGAGGUCUAACAGUAACAGUUCAAUAUGGGGUGUGUAUUAAUGUAAUAUAUUCUAAUAGUAACAGUUCAAUAUGGGGUGUGUAUUAAUGUAAUAUAUUCUAAUAGUAACAGUUCAAUAUGG
RNAcentral lists this long non-coding RNA (313 nucleotides) under Salmo salar (Atlantic salmon). RNAcentral describes it as "lncRNA (ENSSSAG00000110221.1)". The record is from RNAcentral. Lineage: Eukaryota; Metazoa; Chordata; Actinopteri; Salmoniformes; Salmonidae.